UACGGAAGGCAGCAGUGGGGAAUAUUGCACAAUGGGCGCAAGCCUGAUGCAGCCAUGCCGCGUGUAUGAAGAAGGCCUUCGGGUUGUAAAGUACUUUCAGCGGGGAGGAAGGCGGUGAAGUUAAUAGCUUCACCGAUUGACGUUACCCGCAGAAGAAGCACCGGCUAACUCCGUGCCAGCAGCCGCGGUAAUACGGAGGGUGCAAGCGUUAAUCGGAAUUACUGGGCGUAAAAGCGCACGCAGGCGGUCUGUCAAGUCGGAUGUGAAAUCCCCGGGCUUAACCUGGGAACUGCAUUCGAAACUGGCAGGCUAGAGUCUUGUAGAGGGGGUAGAAUUCCAGGUGUAGCGGUGAAAUGCGUAGAGAUCUGGAGGAAUACCGGUGGCGAAGGCGGCCCCUGGGACAAAGACUGACGCUCAGGUGCGAAAGCGUGGGGAGCAAACAGGAUUAGGAUACC
RNAcentral lists this ribosomal RNA (455 nucleotides) under uncultured bacterium. Its description in RNAcentral is "bacterial SSU rRNA". It matches the Rfam family "Bacterial small subunit ribosomal RNA", at positions 340 to 786 of the family's 1533-position model. The record is from RNAcentral.